UACGUAGGGGGCAAGCGUUAUCCGGAUUUACUGGGCGUAAAGAGCGCGUAGGCGGUUCCGUAAGUUGGUUGUGAAAGUUCGAGGCUCAACCUCGAAACUGCGUCCAAUACUGCGGGGCUGGAGUGCAAGAGAGGCAAGUGGAAUUUGCGGUGUAGUAGUGAAAUGCGUAGAUAUCGCAAGGAACACCAGUGGCGAAGGCGGCUUGCUAGCUUGUAACUGACGCUGAGGCGCGAAAGCUAGGGGAGCGAACGGG
Molecule: ribosomal RNA, 253 nt
Filed under: uncultured bacterium
Lineage: Bacteria
Also listed under: 1 other name
Description: partial 16S ribosomal RNA
Rfam family: Bacterial small subunit ribosomal RNA
Source: RNAcentral